RNAcentral lists this ribosomal RNA (850 nucleotides) under Entoloma graphitipes f. graphitipes. RNAcentral's name for it is "eukaryotic LSU rRNA". It matches the Rfam family "Eukaryotic large subunit ribosomal RNA", at positions 72 to 909 of the family's 3401-position model. Lineage: Eukaryota; Fungi; Basidiomycota; Agaricomycetes; Agaricales; Entolomataceae. The record is from RNAcentral.
GGAUUCCCCUAGUAACUGCGAGUGAAGCGGGAAAAGCUCAAAUUUAAAAUCUGGUAGUCUUUGGCUGCCCGAGUUGUAAUCUAGAGAAGCGUUAUCCGCGCUGGACCGUGUACAAGUCUCCUGGAAUGGAGCGUCAUAGAGGGUGAGAAUCCCGUCUUUGACACGGACUACCAGGGCUUUGUGAUGCGCUCUCAAAGAGUCGAGUUGUUUGGGAAUGCAGCUCUAAAUGGGUGGUAAAUUCCAUCUAAAGCUAAAUAUUGGCGAGAGACCGAUAGCGAACAAGUACCGUGAGGGAAAGAUGAAAAGAACUUUGGAAAGAGAGUUAAACAGUACGUGAAAUUGUUGAAAGGGAAACGCUUGAAGUCAGUCGCGUUCGUCAGGGAUCAACCUUGCUUUUGCUUGGUGUACUUCCUGGCUAACGGGUCAGCAUCAAUUUUGACCAGUGGAAAAAGGUCGAGGGAAUGUGGCAUCUUCGGAUGUGUUAUAGCUCUUGGUCAUAUACACUGGUUGGGAUUGAGGAACUCAGCACGCCGCAAGGCCGGGUUUUAACCACGUUCGUGCUUAGGAUGCUGGCAUAAUGGCUUUAAUCGACCCGUCUUGAAACACGGACCAAGGAGUCUAACAUGCCUGCGAGUGUUUGGGUGGAAAACCCAAGCGCGUAAUGAAAGUGAAAGUUGGGAUCUCUGUCGUGGAGAGCACCGACGCCCGGACCAGACCUUCUGUGACGGAUCCGCGGUAGAGCAUGUAUGUUGGGACCCGAAAGAUGGUGAACUAUGCCUGAAUAGGGUGAAGCCAGAGGAAACUCUGGUGGAGGCUCGUAGCGAUUCUGACGUGCAAAUCGAUCGUCGAA